RNAcentral lists this ribosomal RNA (207 nucleotides) under uncultured bacterium. RNAcentral's name for it is "partial 16S ribosomal RNA". It matches the Rfam family "Bacterial small subunit ribosomal RNA", at positions 568 to 774 of the family's 1533-position model. The record is from RNAcentral.
CUCGUAGGCGGCCAACUAAGUCAGACGUGAAAUCCCUCGGCUUAACCGGGGAACUGCAUCUGAUACUGGAUGGCUUGAGAUCGGGAGAGGGAUGCGGAAUUCCAGGUGUAGCGGUGAAAUGCGUAGAUAUCUGGAGGAACACCGGUGGCGAAGGCGGCAUCCUGGACCGACACUGACGCUGAUGAGCGAAAGCCAGGGGAGCAAACG